RNAcentral lists this long non-coding RNA (373 nucleotides) under Malus domestica (apple). RNAcentral's name for it is "long non-coding RNA (MDOM_LNC020221)". The record is from RNAcentral. Lineage: Eukaryota; Viridiplantae; Streptophyta; Magnoliopsida; Rosales; Rosaceae.
AACACCAAACUUUUUGUUCUUGGCAAAAAUGUCAAGAACAAUGAAGAACACUCAUGAAAAACUCAAAAAAAUUCCAUGAACAUUUUUCACGCAAAAACAUCCCAAAACCAUUCAAACUUAAGGGAAAUAACAUAUAACCAAACUAGGGUACAUAGGGGUUCCAAAAGUCACUUGAAAAACAUUUUUAACAAGACAAACAAGAACCCAAAAAUCCACCCUUUGGAUUUGGCCGAAAAUCCCCAAAAACAUGGCACACAAUUUUAGCUCCAAAAUUCAUGCUCAUAUGAACUACAUCUACAACAUUUGAGAUGGCAAAUUUUCUAACAAAAUUUACAUUCAAAAAAGCAAGAAUAAAGCUUGUAACAUAUUACAA